This is a long non-coding RNA of Trichechus manatus latirostris (Florida manatee), 702 nucleotides long. RefSeq lists it as uncharacterized. Lineage: Eukaryota; Metazoa; Chordata; Mammalia; Sirenia; Trichechidae. The record is from RefSeq and is a predicted model, not a curated record. The transcript is spliced from 2 exons.
ACCUCUUGGCUGUCUCAGCGUGCACGGGAAAUGCUCCCAGGAUCUAACCUAAAUCCUGCGUGUUCAAAUACCUGGAGUGGAAUCCGACACUCGCCGCCGUCUCCCACCACUUUUCCAUUUUUUCCGUUUCCUGUCAUCUUCUGUGCGGCAAAACGAACAAUCUGACUUGUCAUCAUAGUGGGAAAAACAUGAAACCCAUGAAUCAUUUUCUCUAUCCAUAGCUAUCAGCCUAACAAAUCAGGAAAAAUUGUGGCCAAGAUGCUUCUACUGACAGUGAUGGGCUUGAAGGAGACAAAUUUUCUUCUAUUCUGGGUACGCUUUCAAGUUUGCCUUCAUUAACACACAAAAGGAUGAAAGGACAUAUUGUGGACAGCAGUUUCUCUCUUUGAAAUCUGCUACCUUGGUUCAGGGAGACAAAUGAGGUCCCCACCAAAUAAAGUCUCAUAGCUUUACUUCACAGUUGCAUCAUGUUUAUUUUUCUGUUAGACAGAAGGGUAAGUACACAUGGUCCUUCAAUCCCCAGUAAUAAGUGCAUCCUUGCAAAAAAGAAACAAAAACAAUAAGACUACAAAUCAUGAUGUUAACACAGAACAAUCUUUAUUUAGAUUCUAUCAUUGAUUUUGCUCCAUAAUGUUACUUACAGGUAACUUCCACCUGAGGGAUGAGUUUAUUUUUAAAUGUGAAAUCGGGUCAACAUUUUAA